UCUGUUGGGCAGUUAUGGCAGAGGGAGGUUACAACCUUGAGGCAACAAGUGCACAACUUACAACACAAUAAUAGGCAAUUAUUGGGAGAGGAGCUAUCUGGUUCCACUGUUCGAGAUUUGCAGUUUCUCGUGAACCAAUUGGAGACGAGUUUGCAUUGUGUACGAAAGAGGAAGGAGCAAGUUAUGGCUGAGGAGAUCCACGAACUUAACCAAAAGGGAUUUCUUAUUCAAAAGGAAAAUAUAGAACUUGGCAAGAAGGUGAGAAUUACUCAUGAGCAAAACAUAGAGUUGCAGAAAAAGCUUUCUGGGGCCAUGAGAUCGAGUGAGCAGCAAGCCAGCGGAAGCAGCUCAAAAGCUGCUGCCGGAUUAUUAUUGUGGACUAGAGCAGGUGAACCAAGGAUUUUUAUUGACCUUGAGUUGCGGCAGCAGGAGCAUGAGGAUGAAUAA
Molecule: ribosomal RNA, 447 nt
Filed under: Triticum aestivum (bread wheat)
Lineage: Eukaryota; Viridiplantae; Streptophyta; Magnoliopsida; Poales; Poaceae
Description: partial small subunit ribosomal RNA
Source: RNAcentral